RNAcentral lists this microRNA precursor (104 nucleotides) under Marmota monax (woodchuck). Lineage: Eukaryota; Metazoa; Chordata; Mammalia; Rodentia; Sciuridae. The record is from RNAcentral.
GUGUAUAUAUAUAUACACUCUCUCUCUCUCUCUCUCUCUCUAUAUAUAUAUAUAUAUAUAUAUAUAGAGAGAGAGAGAGAGAGAGAGAGAGAGAGACAGAGAGA